GUCAAACUCCCCUGCCCUUCUAGGCAGAGUGACUUUUCCUCAGCCAACUAAUAGUAAAACCUCUUACAGUUUGCUUCAGUUGUGGUUUUCUCUUGGGUCAUUGGGGUGCUGGCCAGCUCAUUCCAGGACUUGAGAGGAGGCCCAGCUUCUGAGGUCUUACAUUUGGGGGCUUCUCCACCAUGAUUUGUGGCCUACCCCAAUUCUCAGAGACCCUGCUUGGAGCCUACUUGGGAUGACUGUCAGCAGCUACAGAUUCUUUCACCACAGAGGAGAAGGAGAGGAUUCUGAGAGGAAAGAAAGAGCAUGCUGGGGGCCAAUUGACUACCAAUAAAACUUCUGAAUGAAAUGGAUGCAGCCUUCCCUCUGACAUGUUCUGACAGGACUGACCAUAUGGAGCAAUUGACAAUUUUCUGCUGGGCUCUGAUAAUAGGACUGAAAGGAGCUGGCAGGUGCCCCACCAAUUUGGCCAAGGUAAGAGAGAUCCUACAAGAGAAAAAGGAGCCCCCAGCAGUGUUUUUAGAAUACCUCUGAAAUGUAUAGAGGUGUUACACUACCUUUGACCCUACUUCGGCGUGCCAGCAGGUGACAGGUGUCAUGGCUUCCAUUGGGCAGUAUUCUUCUGACAUUAGGAAAAGGUUACAGCGUCUAGAGAGUCUGAAAACAUUAUCUUUACAACAUCUAUUUAAGGAGUCAGAGAAAGUGUACCAUAAGAGAGAGAGAGUGACAAGCCAGCAACAGGGUAUAUUGGGCUCUGAGUCUGCAGACACCCUGAAGGUCCCCAAAAGACCCUCAAUAGGAUCAUAAGACCUCUGGUGAAUGGAACACAACCUCUGCUCCAAUCCAAUCUCACAGGAUCUGAGACUGCAUUAAUUAGGGAAGCAGAAAAACUGGCCUGACAAUGGUCACAAGUCCCUCUGCUCUGUGCCAGCACCUGGGCAACUUGUUGGACGGAGUCUGAGGACAGCCCCAAGGUCCUCACAGAAACAUCCACGAGAUCUUAAGACCUUUGGUGAAUGGAAAACAACUUCUGCUCCAAUCCUAUCAUGCAGGACCUGAGACUGCAUUCAUUAGGGAAGCAGAUAAACCGGCCUGACCAGGGUCACAAGUCCCUUCCAAUCCAUUACAGCACCGGGGACCUUGGGGGCAGAGUCUGUGGACACCCCAAAGGUCCCAACAGGACUCUCCAUGGGAUCUUAGUAACUCUAUUGAGUGGAUUACAACAUCUGCCAGGAGGAAGGUUCGAACACCAGAUAUCUGGGACCCUUCUCUGCAAGAGGAGAUCUUGCCUGCAGAGAGUACUCUGAACACUGAAACUCAGGAGAAAACUAGUCUCCGAGGUCUGCUGAUAGAGGCUAACAUAAUCACCUGACCAUCGUUAUGGCAACUAUUAGAAAACAAAGCAUUUAAUUGGAGGCUUUGUUACAUUUUCAGAAGAUUGGUCAAUCAUCACGGGAGGUACCCCAUCACUGGAGCAAUAGAGAACUAUUGAUCCUUAGGCAAAAAGAGAGAUUCUGCCAUUGUAUUGUCUCCUUGAAAACUCAAACCCAUCCUUGUUGACACACCUAUCCUCCAAUGAAGCCACACCUUCUCGUAUUCCUUCUAAUCUUUAAACUCACUGCCACUUCCUGGUAAUGAAAUAUUCAUAUAUAUGUGUCUAUAGGGGAUUUAUUAUUCAAACCGCCACUUUUCCCAUGGCUCGAUCAGCUAUUUUUUUUUAAAUACAUCCUAAAGGGCUCCCAUUUAUUAAGGACUACUUAUGAGCUUAGCCACAGUGAUGGGUCCUCCCACAUCAAUCAUUAGCCUAGAAAAUAACCCAUAGACUUAACUAAUGACUAAGUACUUGGAGACAGAUGUUCAAUUGUUCUCUCUUCUCAGGUAACUGUAGAUUGUCAAGAUUGGGAAAAAAUAAUGUUCCAUCACAGUAAUUUUUAACUUACUCCAUAACCUACACAAACAUUACUCAACACCAUCUUCUGCAUUCUGCCCCUGCAUAGACACUCUUCCAUGUAUGGCAUAAGUGAAGGGUGACUACCUCCAUCAGCAAGGAUACUCAAUAAUAUGUGACAUGAACUGAAUAUUUCCUGUAGCCUCACAACCCCCACAUUCUACUGUGUGUUACACUUAUUGGGGGACUUGACAAUCUGUCCAAUAUCCUGCCACCAAAGUUAUG
RNAcentral lists this long non-coding RNA (2170 nucleotides) under Mus musculus (house mouse). RNAcentral's name for it is "predicted gene 28509". The record is from RNAcentral. Lineage: Eukaryota; Metazoa; Chordata; Mammalia; Rodentia; Muridae.